Molecule: small RNA, 28 nt
Filed under: Bombyx mori (domestic silkworm)
Lineage: Eukaryota; Metazoa; Arthropoda; Insecta; Lepidoptera; Bombycidae
Description: ovarian small RNA-29248
Source: RNAcentral
UCGUCGGAGAGGGCACGCACGCGCAAAA